UGUGCCUACGGGACGCAGCAGUGGGGAAUAUUGCACAAUGGGGGAAACCCUGAUGCAGCAGCGCCGCGUGAGUGAAGAAGUCAUUCGUGAUGUAAAGCUCUAUCAGCAGGGAAGAAAAUGACGGUACCUGAGUAAGAAGCCCCGGCUAACUACGUGCCAGCAGCCGCGGUAAUACGUAGGGGGCAAGCGUUCUCCGGAUUUACUGGGUGUCAAGGGAGCGUAGACGGCCAGACAAGUCUGAAGUGAAAAUCCAGCGCUUAACGUUGGAAGUGCUUUGGAAACUGCCGGGCUGG
Molecule: ribosomal RNA, 293 nt
Filed under: uncultured bacterium
Lineage: Bacteria
Description: partial 16S ribosomal RNA
Rfam family: Bacterial small subunit ribosomal RNA
Source: RNAcentral